This 236-nucleotide ribosomal RNA is filed under the name uncultured Candidatus Saccharibacteria bacterium. Its description in RNAcentral is "partial 16S ribosomal RNA". It matches the Rfam family "Bacterial small subunit ribosomal RNA", at positions 584 to 818 of the family's 1533-position model. The record is from RNAcentral. Lineage: Bacteria; Candidatus Saccharimonadota.
UAAGUAGAUAGUGAAAUCUGGUGGCUCAACCAUUCAGACUAUUAUCUAAACUGCUAAGCUCGAGACCGUUAGGGGUAACUGGAAUUUCUAGUGUAGGAGUGAAAUCCGUAGAUAUUAGAAAGAACACCGAUAGCGUAGGCAGGUUACUGGGACGGUUCUGACACUAAGGCACGAAAGCGUAGGGAGCAAACGGGAUUAGAUACCCCGGUAGUCUACGCCGUAAACGAUGGAUACUA